CCAUGAAACAACAUAACAUGAAGUUUUCUGUACUGUUUUUUAUUUAAGCUGUGGGGUUGAUAGGGAUCCUGUGGUCCUGCACAGUUGUGAAUCAUUGCCACAGAGUAACUGGAAAAAAUUUAUUGGUAUUUGUUGAAACAUUCUGUCCGGGUCAUCUGGGUUUAGAAAUCCCAAACAUGCACAAUUCUCAAUCUAUCUUCAUCUGUCUAUCUGUUUCUAGUCUUUGAAAAUGUCCAUUUGAUCUGUCAGGCUGUCUUACAACACGCACAGCUGCCAAGCCCUGCAGCUGCUGCAGGAUUUCUGAUGCCAUAAUUUGCAUAUAUAGGCUAAUUGCAUUAAGCAAGGAUCCAUUCAAGCAUGUUCAUUAGAAAUGCCAGUCAUAUUUGUGUGCUGUCGUGUCUUCACGUGGCAGAGAUUAUCUUUUCUAUAAAAUGACCCAAACUGUAAUCACCAGGCUCCAUUGAUGUUGGCUACAUCAAGCAGGAUUAUACAAGCYCCUGAUCUGUUUCAAUACAUUUUAUUUAAAGAUAUCUUGGCUUACAGCAAUCUCRGCUUUCCUCUCUCUAAGUAAUGGGUAAAUUAUCCGAGUCUGUAUUUCAUUUUUUCAUUAUUGUUAUUUUUUAUUCUGCAGGGCAAGUUUAGGUUCACACUUUGGAACAUAAUAAGGAGAGACAAAGGAAACUAUUUAUAACAGGCCAUGGAAGACUGGUAGGCAGAGCCACCAUUUUAAAGGAUAUUCAGAGAGAAGGGAAAGCAGAGCUGGAAGCUUGGAGAAAGUGGAGAAUAGCUUGGAUAUUAUGGAUCCAUCUGGCCUUGGGAUCAGCCCUCAUUGUCUCAUUGACAGAUACCUAAAACAACAGACUUGAAAACAGAGAAAGGCAUAAAUCCAGUGASCCAAGGUGAAAUUCAUCCCUGCAGGGUCUGAAGGACACCCAGGCACACACAGACAAUGCAGAGCACCCAGGACAAUGCUCAGCCAGUUACUACAGAAGAGCUGCUCACAUGAGUGAAAACUUCUGGCUCUAGAUGACUGAAAAGGAAGGUGCUGAGAAGGACUUGUCAGUAACAAACUGUGAGACACCUAAUGCUGGAAACACAAUCCCUGCACAUGAUGGUGUGACAUCCAUUGCCAUAAGUCUCCAGUGCCCUGUAGAACUCAAGGCACAGUCCCUUUGAUUCUACAGCCCRUGAAGAUCUGGCAGGUCUGAAGCAGGACAGGAUGACAUCAAUAUUUCCUUUAAGAAGGCCAGCAGUAGGUCCACAGUGUAUGUCUGAAUAAAUGUGAUUCAAAUGACAUCAUGUUAACUUUUUUCCUCUCUC
Long non-coding RNA from Malurus melanocephalus (red-backed fairy wren), 1320 nucleotides. RefSeq lists it as uncharacterized. The record is from RefSeq and is a predicted model, not a curated record. NCBI's taxonomy places the organism in Eukaryota, Metazoa, Chordata, Aves, Passeriformes, Maluridae. The transcript has 6 exons.